AUGGUUGAAAAGCAUAUACAGGAAAGAGAAGGGAAGGUGAGCGAGUCGAUCUCAAAGUCCAGCCAGCACUUGGCCUCCAAGCAGAAAAAGGAUGGCACUGAGAAGAGGGGCUGGGGCAGGUCGCCCAAGCAGCCUCACGUGAGUCCCACGACAGCGCUGGUAGGGAGUCAGAAGGAGCCCAGCGAAGUGCCAAAACCUAAAAGACCUCAGGGCCGACCAAAUGGAAGCAAAAAAACUGGAGAAGGAGGAAGAGGAGGGCAUCUCACAGGAGUUCUCAGAGGAGGAGCAGUGACCGUGCGUACGUGUCGCCUGCUCGUUGCUGGAGGAGCUUCCUUCUGGUACUGGACAACUUUGCUCUGCUCCCACCGCCCCCAGCCCUUCCCCAGGCCGACCAUCACCACCGCCUCCGGCGACCACCCCUAUCUUCCAUCUGUGACUUCACCACUACACAGCACACCAGCCGCCACAGGGCCCCCAUGGGCUGAGUGGGGAGCCGUCUUCCCCUGGCCUCAGUUCCCAGCUCCCCCCGCCCACCCACGGGCACACACAUGUGCCCUCCUGGACAAGGCUAACGUUCCACUUAGCCGCACCCUGCACCUACUGUGUCCCCACUCCCUUGGUGGUGGGGACAUGGCUCUCUGGGUUUUGGUUUGGGGGCGCCCUCUCUGCUCCUUCAUUGUUCCCUCUGGCUUCCCAUAGUGGGGCCUAGGAGGGUUCCCCUGGCCUUAAAAGGGGCCCAAGCCCCAUCUCAUCCUGGCCCGCCCUACUCCACUGCCCUGGCAGCAGGUGUGGCCAAUGGAGAGGGCUGCUGGUCCCAGGAUUCCCCCAGCCAAACUGUCUUUGUCACCACGUGGGCCUCACACCUUUUAUCCUUCCCCACCUUCCCUAGUCCCUGCACUAGGUUGGACAGCCCCCUUUGGCUACAGGAAGGCAGGAGGGGUGUGAGCCCCCUACUCCCUCUUCAGGGUGGCCCCAGCCCCCUUGCCCUCUGCCUGGGAUCUGAGAACAUAUUGCAGUGAUGGAGAUGCAGUCACUUAUUGUCCAGGUGAGGCCCACGAGCCCUGUGGCCGCUACCUGAGGUGGGCUGGGGCUGCUCCCCCACCCCUACUUUGCUUCCGCCACUCAACCAUUUGCCCCUCCUCAGAUGGGGCACCAAUAACAAGGAGCUCACCCUGCCAGCUCCAAAUCCUCCUGCUCCUCCCUGCCCCCCAAGGUUCUGGUUCCACUUUUUCUCUGUUCACAAACCACCUCUGGACAGUCGUGUUGUUUUUUGUUCAAUGUUCCAUUCUUCGACACCUG
Mandrillus leucophaeus (drill) is the source of this 1299-nucleotide RNA transcript. RefSeq lists it as uncharacterized. The transcript has 3 exons. Lineage: Eukaryota; Metazoa; Chordata; Mammalia; Primates; Cercopithecidae. The record is from RefSeq and is a predicted model, not a curated record.